ACGGGGUGCAGCAGGCGCUUAAAACUCCACAAUGCACUCACGUGCGAUGGGGCUAUCUCGAGUGCCACCUGAUGAAGGUGGCUUUUCCUAUGUCUUCAAAGCCUUGGGAAUAAGAGGGGGGCAAGACUGGUGUCAGCCGCCGCGGUAACACCAGCCCCUCGAGUGGUGGGGAUGAUUAUUUGGCCUAAAGCGUCCGUAGCCGGCCGUGUAAGUCUUCCGUUAAAUCCAGCGUCUCAAGCGUUGGACUGCGGGAGAUACUGUACGGCUAGAGAGUGGGAGUGGUCAGUGGUAUUCUGGGGGUAGGGGCGAAAUCCUUUGAUCCCCGGAGGACCACCAGUGGCGAAGGCUGCUGACUAGAACACGUCUGACGGUCAGGGACGAAAGCUGGGGUAGCGAACCGGAUUAGAUACCCGGGUAGUCCCAGCCGUAAACGAUGCAUGCUAGGUGUUGGGUUGGCCACGAGCCACCCCAGUGCCGCAGGGAAGCCGUUAAGCAUGCCGCCUGGGAAGUACGAUCGCAAGAUUGAAACUUAAAGGAAUUGGCGGGGGAGCAC
This 553-nucleotide ribosomal RNA is filed under the name uncultured archaeon. Its description in RNAcentral is "bacterial SSU rRNA". It matches the Rfam family "Archaeal small subunit ribosomal RNA", at positions 325 to 879 of the family's 1478-position model. The record is from RNAcentral.